GGAAGUCCCAUCGGAUCAUUGCCCUCACCGUCUUUGCCGACGACAAACUCUCUGGCCCAAUCCCACCCUUUGUGGGUGACCUCCCGUUCCUCGAAAACCUCAUGUUCCACAAGCUCCCAAAUCUCAUUGGCCCCAUCCCACCUACCAUUGCAAAACUCAACAACCUCAAAUACCUUGACCUAAGCUGGAACGGUCUCUCUGGUCCUGUCCCCAGCUUCCUCGGCUCCCUUUCCAAUCUCGAUGUUCUCGACCUCUCCUUCAACCGUUUCACUGGCUCCAUCCCUAGCUCUCUUGCCAACCUCCGCCGCCUUGGAACUCUCCAUUUGGAUCGAAACAAAUUGACAGGACCCAUACCCGAAUCAUUUGGAAACUUCAAGGGAAAAGUCCCUUAUCUCUACCU
Molecule: long non-coding RNA, 400 nt
Filed under: Cucumis sativus (cucumber)
Lineage: Eukaryota; Viridiplantae; Streptophyta; Magnoliopsida; Cucurbitales; Cucurbitaceae
Description: long non-coding RNA (CSAT_LNC001468)
Source: RNAcentral